RNAcentral lists this small RNA (832 nucleotides) under Pongo abelii (Sumatran orangutan). RNAcentral describes it as "retained intron". Lineage: Eukaryota; Metazoa; Chordata; Mammalia; Primates; Hominidae. The record is from RNAcentral.
UGAGAACGUAGAAUGGAAUCCCUUUGACCAAGAUGCAGUAGGAAUGCUAUGUAUGCCCAAAGGGCUGGCAUUCAAGACCCAGGCUGAUCCCAGGGAGCCCCAGUUCCAUGCCUUUAUUAUCACAAGGGAGGAUGGCUCUCGGACAUUUGGGUUUGCCCUCACUUUUUAUGAAGAGGUGACUAGCAAGCAGAUCUGCAGUGCAAUGCAGACCCUCUACCACAUGCACAAUGCUGAGUAUGAUGUCCUACAUGCUCCCCCUGCUGAUGGCAGAGACCAGAGCAGCAUGGAGGAUGGUGAAGACACUCCUGUGACCAAACUGCAGCGCUUCAACUCCUAUGACAUUAGCCGGGACACUCUCUACGUCUCUAAGUGCAUCUGCCUCAUCACACCCAUGUCUUUCAUGAAGGCAUGUCGGAGCGUGCUGGAGCAACUCCACCAGGCAGUCACUUCACCUCAGCCCCCUCCACUGCCUCUUGAGAGCUACAUAUACAACGUACUGUACGAGGUGCCACUCCCACCUCCUGGCCGGUCGUUGAAGUUUUCUGGAGUCUAUGGGCCAAUAAUCUGCCAGAGACCAAGUACCAAUGAGCUUCCCCUAUUUGACUUUCCUGUCAAAGAGGUUUUUGAACUGCUCGGGGUGGAGAAUGUGUUUCAGCUUUUUACUUGUGCCCUUCUGGAGUUUCAAAUCCUGCUCUACUCACAGCGUAAGUCAGUGCUUACUAGAGCCUUCUGCCUGCCUCAGGCUUCCUUGCUUUCCAUGUUCAGAUACAGUGGGGCUGACUGUAAAGGUUAAGAGCUAUUACAGUUUGAGCAAAACCCAGAUCUUUUGCAG